UUAGCAAAUCUAGUGUGAACGAACCAUCAAUGCAAGCUAUUGAGUAUGAGUUUCAAUGAAGGAAAUUGACGAAAAAGGUUGGAGAUGGAGUAACGGAUACUGAUAAGGUCAAAUUCUGAGAUAGCUUCCAUCGAUGGUUCGGUCACAUACUUAUUCUAGGGCAGAUUCAUUGGCUAUUGAUGCAGAUAAUGCACAUACGAAUUUGGCACCGGGUAAGUCCCUUAUGGCGCUUCAGGAGCAGUGAGCAAAACUCCCAUAUCAUAUCAAACUAAAUCCUUGAAAGUUAAAAAAAAAAAACAAAUACUAACUACUCAAAUCUAUAACUCAG
Molecule: long non-coding RNA, 328 nt
Organism: Papaver somniferum (opium poppy)
Lineage: Eukaryota; Viridiplantae; Streptophyta; Magnoliopsida; Ranunculales; Papaveraceae
Exons: 3
Source: RefSeq, a predicted model, not a curated record